CCGGCGUUGCUCCUGCGCGUGACGACUCCGCACCGUCAGUCCAGUCCGAGUGUUUUCUUCUUCUAUUGUAGUUUGUGUGGUUAGUUUUCUGGGUACUUUCGGAUCUGAACCCAAAGGAAACUCUUCAAUCUCCAGUGACCGCAACACCAACAAGAAGACCGUCGCAUCCUUCGCGACUGCAAAUCAAACGUCCAGAUCAACCGGCAAGGCACUGACAGCUAUGUUAUGUUCUUCAACGAGGUCGGUCCCAGAUUGGGACAAUCGGAGGCUAACUCAUUUAUGGGAAACGAGGUGCACGGCAAGGGAGCAUUUUUAAUUGGUUUAAUGCUCCUUCUUAUUGACGAACAGAUAACCGAGUGGAGAUUGACUUAGACAGGUUCAGCUUCCAUUCACUUGAGAAUUUUGAAGACAACUAUGGACUCAGAGCUGAUCACAAACAAUUCGUGUUCACUUCAGCUGUUAAGAGGAUUAGCAUGCUUUAAACGAUUUGCAGACAAGUUCCAGUGGAAGAUGAAAAUGGUAAUAAGAUGAUCAAUGAGUAUGUUGUUGACCAGUGAAUAUUUGAUCUGUAGCUAGCCAAGUAAUUUUAUAUCAAACCUCUGUUGAUGGGCAAUCUUAUGCUAUCAAGUUGAAUUGGGAUGCAUUAACAAAGCAGCUAUAAAACAAAAAGAAAGGGGGGAGGGGGGCUAACUUCUCUCUCUAGAAAAAGGUAACGUUGCAUUUUUUAGUCAGCUUUUAGUAGGCAAAAGUCUUGAAACUACAUUGUUUGUGUUACUCUUUUUCCUCUUUUUGUCGCAAAUGUCUCUCUUAUUCUAUAGCUGGUUUGUAUGGGUUAUUUUGGUUCCAUGUGGAUUUUCCGUUUUGUAUUGUGAUUGAAUGGUUGUGAUCACACAUGUGUGGAAGAGCCGAAGAGGAGGCCAAAUAAAGAGUUGGUGAAGCUGCGAACCAGCAAGAAAACAAAGAAAAGUACGAUUACAAAUUUCACUGUAAUAUAUGACUAUCUAUCUUCUGGCUCCCCUUUGUUGUUGGCACUUGGAGUCAGAAUCUAAGGAAUCCAGCUUAGUGUU
Long non-coding RNA from Brassica oleracea var. oleracea, 1067 nucleotides. RefSeq lists it as uncharacterized. The record is from RefSeq and is a predicted model, not a curated record. The transcript has 6 exons. NCBI's taxonomy places the organism in Eukaryota, Viridiplantae, Streptophyta, Magnoliopsida, Brassicales, Brassicaceae.